CAGUAGCCACGGUAAUACGUAGGGUGCAAGCGUUAAUCGGAAUUACUGGGCGUAAAGCGUGCGCAGGCGGUUCUAUAAGACAGAUGUGAAAUCCCCGGGCUCAACCUGGGAACUGCAUUUGUGACUGUAGAGCUGGAGUGCGGCAGAGGGGGAUGGAAUUCCGCGUGUAGCAGUGAAAUGCGUAGAUAUGCGGAGGAACACCGAUGACGAAGGCAAUCCCCUGGGCCUGCACUGACGCUCAUGCACGAAAGCGUGGGGAGCAAACAGGAUUAGAUACCCGCGUAGUCCCUGUCUCUUAUAC
RNAcentral lists this ribosomal RNA (301 nucleotides) under uncultured bacterium. RNAcentral describes it as "partial 16S ribosomal RNA". It matches the Rfam family "Bacterial small subunit ribosomal RNA", at positions 509 to 807 of the family's 1533-position model. The record is from RNAcentral.